Molecule: unclassified non-coding RNA, 2809 nt
Filed under: Leishmania donovani
Lineage: Eukaryota; Euglenozoa; Kinetoplastea; Trypanosomatida; Trypanosomatidae
Description: gene:LdHU3.24.1480(CDS-product:hypothetical_prote in_conserved)
Source: RNAcentral
AACAACCGACGGCAGCACACCUGCCGACGCUAAAGUAGGGAAGUGGCCACUUGGCGCCGUCUUGUAUUCCUAUGCUGUUGUGGACCCCACCUUCUUCUCACCUGGCCCCUUAAUACCCCCUCUCGUUGCUGUCGCGUGUGGUGUGGGGAUGGGUGCGGCGUGCUUGGAUGGACAGGUUUCUUCGCACUUUGUGUGAUGGUACGUCGGUUGCCCGCAGGCGUCUGUUGAGAGCAGGGGCGGAGGCAACGAAGAGGGAGAGAGAGAGAACAGCCUCAGCAGCGUCAUCCGCGACGCCAGCUAAUCGAGCAACGUAAUCGAGAUUUGCACACAUACAUCACCAUAAUCAGAGGAGCGCGCGCGCGCACACACACACACUCUUAGCAUGCCCCGAGGUCGCAGUCAUGGGCGUGGGCGCGGCGGGCGUGGUAGAGGAGCGGCAGGGGCGCCAGAAGACGACCCCGGCGACGAGAUAGUGACAUCCUCUCCGCGGCCUCUCGACGCUGAGGCGGUCGUUACGGUGCUCUCAACGAUGCGCGGUCGCGGUGCACGCGGCAGGGGACGGGGUCGAGGCCGACUAGGACGUGGCAGCACUACCGGUGGUGCGCGUGGCGAACGUGGCCGCGGGGCGGUGUCCCUCCAGAGCGUCAGCGGUACCUCAGAGGCCUCGAAGUCGAUGAGCGCCGUUAGCCCUUCGACUUCGCCUGCGCGGUCGACGCUGGAAGCGUCUCCACUGUCUGCGUCUCCGGCAGCACCUGUCGUCGUCGUCGUGCCGCAGGGUCGCAUGAUUACUCGCUCUCUCCUACGCAGCACCGCCUCUCUGCUCCUCGACAACGACAGCGAUGCCGCCGGUAGCCCACUAGUGCUGCCGCUCAACGGCCGGCGCCGGCGACGGACGGAAUCUGCGGCGGCCAACGCAUCGUCUUUCUCACCUAACUUGCCUGUACCACGGGAUGACACGCUCGGUAGCUCGGCGCUCGCCUCUACCCGCAUCUCCUCUGCCUCCUUGCCCGCCUCCGCGAUGGCGGACGACACGGCGGCCACGGCCGACAGCAGUGGCAGUCGCCUCUCCCCCCUCUCACAGCGCGUCGUCAUCGGAGGCCUACUGCGGUGUGUUUGCAAUGCCUUCCUCGUGUCGCCCAGUGAGACGCUGCUGGAGUGCUGCCGAUGCCGCAACUGGUGCCACUCCGCCUGCGUCGGCGUCGACUACGAAGAGCUGCGCCUGCGCCAACGGCAGCGGGACUUUCUCUGCCCAUUCUGCACAGAGACGGCCACGCCGGCUUCCGCGCCGACGGGCGCAUCCAGCACCGCGGCAGACUCCCUGCCCACCGAGCCGCGCGCCUUUUCGUCGCCGCCGCUGCCGCCGCCGGGGUCGCAGAAGCCGGCCUCCAUUACGACGUCCUUGGGCGAGUCCAUCAAGGUCCUCUGCAGCCCAACCGCAGCGGUGGUCACAGCCGUGAAUGGCUUAGCUGUUGCUCAAACGGGCGGUAGUAGUGGCAGAGGAGACUCUACCGUAGCGGCUACGUCGGCGCUGCCUGUAUUGCCCCCAACCUCCACAAGCGGCUCUUCUUUGUCGAGCUACCCCUUGGUGAGUCGGCAGCCUCCGGCGCCACGCCAGCUGCCGCUAAAGCUGCGCGAGGUACCGGAUCGAUCCCCGCCUGCGCCACUCGCCGAUGAGCUGCGGCGCCUCAUCCGCAUGAUCGAGCACACAGUUCAUCAGCUUGGCUACAACAUGCUGCACCUGCCCGCGCACACGCUCACGGAGCAGCAGGUGACUGAGUGCCUAGGGUGCUGCGCGGAGGCCAUCCAAGACGCCACCUUCUCGGCCGACUACCCGGCCUACUGCCUAAAAGAGGUGCAAAACCGCCGGCACCCGUACGUGCAAGGCAUCGCGCUCCAGUCACAGGCCAACGGACGCAUCUGCUCCCUCAUCCUGUCCAGCGGCCGAGACCUCUAUGGCAACCUCAAGCCGACGAUCACACAGCUCAAGAGCUCGCUACAGCGCGGCCUCCUCGAGCCGUCUGCACUGACGCCAUUCAUGGCGGAGUGCAUGGCCAUUGCGGAUGUGGCCGACUUUGUGCACAUCACACUAAGUGCCACACAUGCCCAGCAUCAGCGCAAGGGUCUCGCGCGACUUCUGAUGACGAUGGAGCUGCUCAAGUGGAGCCUGCGGGGCCGCCACCGCGCGUUCCUCAACAUGGCCAUCGAAAAGCGCCUCGUGGACGGCGGCAGCCGGAUCGAGUUCGCGUCACCAGCCGCGUCGAAGCGGCUCUACGAGUCCUUCGGCUUUGCCGAGGUAUACCCACGCUACGACCCGGUGACCAGGAAAGAGCGCUGGACCGCGAAGGAGGCGGACAUGGGACGCGUGAUGGCGAAUUUGAACUUCGUCGAUCAUGUGCGUGCCGUGGCGGAGGCCAUACCAGCCAAGUACAAUGUCAGCGGGAGCCCGAACGGGGACGGCGUGGGUCAUGGAGGCGGGAAGGGCAUGGGCGAGAGCGCUGAAGAAAGGAGCUCGAUCGCCAGCAGAAAUGAAACCAGUCGCUCCCGAUCGGGCUGGCGCGCCGGCAACACACGCAAACGCGGUGGCAGUGCUGUCUCUAACGGUGGAGAUGACAGCGACUCGGGGCAGCGCAAUGGCGAUUGGAGCUGCACCAAGAACGACGCAGGAAAAUGAAGCUUCGACCUGCACUCUGUGUAAGCAUGUUCAAUUCUAGCGUUGGCGGCGGCGUGAAAGGAAUGCGGGGGGUGCGGUGGCAGGAAUGAACCGACUGCCUCGACUACAACCUUGCGUUGCCCUGACGACAAGCACGUG